UUAGCUCAUACUUCUCUCGCGUGUUAUAACAAUCGGUUUCGUGUAAAUAGGAUAAGUAGUUUUGUAAGCUGUGACCUCACCCUUUUCAAUUUUUCAUAUGUACAUCUUCUUUGAUGGAGCGUGUGUCUUGCAGUAUGUCCUGUUGGAUACGAUGCAAUGUAAAUUGAAAUGUAUACAUAGGGACAGUAACGAUGCUGACAUUCAAUCGGUUUGGAACAAAACAACCUUGACUGGAUUGAUAUUCUUCGAUUGCAGCAAAGGACAAGAAAAGGAUGGUAUAGAGUAUUGUGCUUCGUCCUAUCCAGGGGAUGUGAAAUUGCUACGGAAGUAUAUAAACAAGAUAUGUCAAAACUCCAUUUAUGUAAAUUUUGCAUUAAACAAAUGCAACAAUUUUAUUGAAAAAUAGUUGAACAUACCUACUAAAAUAACAAGUAAACAAAACUUUUGAUUGAAGCAUUUGUAUCGUCAUAUUUUCGAAAGAGAAAAUACUGAAGAUUUAAUGGAUGGGACACGACCUUCACGGGAAAUAUUUUUUCCUUCAUAAACAAAAAUAUACUUUUUUAUGAUCAGAAUGCAAGUACUUAAAACAAUACCAAUUAAGAAGAAGAAAAUAGGAGAUAUAAUGCUGGUUAGGAGAACCGGUUGAUGCUUGAUCAUAUCAUUGGAUCCUUUCAUAAAUGAUCUAUAUUUUAAAAAAUUUAUCAUACCAUAGUCGAUGAAUUUCUACAACCUAGAAUAAACUAUAAGAGAUAUUAAUUGAAAA
Long non-coding RNA from Vespula vulgaris, 763 nucleotides. RefSeq lists it as uncharacterized. Lineage: Eukaryota; Metazoa; Arthropoda; Insecta; Hymenoptera; Vespidae. The transcript is spliced from 4 exons. The record is from RefSeq and is a predicted model, not a curated record.